This 1043-nucleotide ribosomal RNA is filed under the name Phocaeicola vulgatus. RNAcentral describes it as "bacterial SSU rRNA". It matches the Rfam family "Bacterial small subunit ribosomal RNA", at positions 184 to 1237 of the family's 1533-position model. The record is from RNAcentral. Lineage: Bacteria; Pseudomonadati; Bacteroidota; Bacteroidia; Bacteroidales; Bacteroidaceae.
CAUGUUCACAUGAUUAAAGGUAUUCCGGUAGACGAUGGGGAUGCGUUCCAUUAGAUAGUAGGCGGGGUAACGGCCCACCUAGUCUUCGAUGGAUAGGGGUUCUGAGAGGAAGGUCCCCCACAUUGGAACUGAGACACGGUCCAAACUCCUACGGGAGGCAGCAGUGAGGAAUAUUGGUCAAUGGGCGAGAGCCUGAACCAGCCAAGUAGCGUGAAGGAUGACUGCCCUAUGGGUUGUAAACUUCUUUUAUAAAGGAAUAAAGUCGGGUAUGCAUACCCGUUUGCAUGUACUUUAUGAAUAAGGAUCGGCUAACUCCGUGCCAGCAGCCGCGGUAAUACGGAGGAUCCGAGCGUUAUCCGGAUUUAUUGGGUUUAAAGGGAGCGUAGAUGGAUGUUUAAGUCAGUUGUGAAAGUUUGCGGCUCAACCGUAAAAUUGCAGUUGAUACUGGAUAUCUUGAGUGCAGUUGAGGCAGGCGGAAUUCGUGGUGUAGCGGUGAAAUGCUUAGAUAUCACGAAGAACUCCGAUUGCGAAGGCAGCCUGCUAAGCUGCAACUGACAUUGAGGCUCGAAAGUGUGGGUAUCAAACAGGAUUAGAUACCCUGGUAGUCCACACGGUAAACGAUGAAUACUCGCUGUUUGCGAUAUACAGCAAGCGGCCAAGCGAAAGCGUUAAGUAUUCCACCUGGGGAGUACGCCGGCAACGGUGAAACUCAAAGGAAUUGACGGGGGCCCGCACAAGCGGAGGAACAUGUGGUUUAAUUCGAUGAUACGCGAGGAACCUUACCCGGGCUUAAAUUGCAGAUGAAUUACGGUGAAAGCCGUAAGCCGCAAGGCAUCUGUGAAGGUGCUGCAUGGUUGUCGUCAGCUCGUGCCGUGAGGUGUCGGCUUAAGUGCCAUAACGAGCGCAACCCUUGUUGUCAGUUACUAACAGGUUCCGCUGAGGACUCUGACAAGACUGCCAUCGUAAGAUGUGAGGAAGGUGGGGAUGACGUCAAAUCAGCACGGCCCUUACGUCCGGGGCUACACACGUGUUACAAUGGGGGG